RNAcentral lists this ribosomal RNA (858 nucleotides) under uncultured euryarchaeote. RNAcentral's name for it is "bacterial SSU rRNA". It matches the Rfam family "Archaeal small subunit ribosomal RNA", at positions 1 to 879 of the family's 1478-position model. The record is from RNAcentral. Lineage: Archaea; Methanobacteriati; Methanobacteriota.
UUCCGGUUGAUCCCGCCGGAGGCGACCGCUUUGGGAGUUCGAUUAAGCCAUGCGAGUCGUGAGUCUUAGGGACUCGGCAUACUGCUCAGUAACACGUGGAUAACCUGCCCUAUCGUCUGGAAUAACCUCGGGAAACUGAGAAUAAGGCCGGAUAGUUCACAAUGCCUGGAACGGUUUGUGAAUCAAGGUAGGAUGGGUCUGCGGCGUAUCAGGUUGUAGGGGGUGUAAAGGACCCCCUAGCCUUCGACGCGUACGGGUGUUGGGAGACAUAGCCCGGAGAUGGAUUCUGAGACACGAAUCCAGACCCUACGGGGUGCAGCAGGCGCGAAAACUUCACACUGCAGGAAACUGUGAUGAGGGAACUCCUAGUGCAUGCACUAUGUGUAUGUAGAUCCUACUCUUAACAAGUAGAGGGAAAGGGCUGGGAAAGACCGGUGCCAGCCGCCGCGGUAAUACCGGCAGCUCAAGUGGUCGUCGCUUUUAUUGGGCCUAAAACGUCCGUAGCCUGUUUGGUAAAUCUGUGGGUAAAUCAAUCCGCUCAACGGAUUGAAUUCUGCAGAGACUGCCAGACUAGGGACCGGGAGAGGUGUGGGGUACUCGAGGGGUAGGGGUAAAAUCCUGUCAUCCUUCGAGGACCACCAGUUGCGAAGGCGCCACACUGGAACGGAUCCGACGGUCAGGGACGAAGCCUAGGGGCACGAACCGGAUUAGAUACCCGGGUAGUCCUAGGUGUAAACGCUGUGAACUUGGUGUCGGGGGUCCGCAAGGGGUCCCCGGUGCCGGAGUGAAGAUGUUAAAUUCACUGCCUGGGGAGUACGGUCGCAGGCUGAAACUUAAAGGAAUUGGUCGGGGCAGCAC